Non-coding RNA from Fomitopsis serialis, 95 nucleotides. NCBI's taxonomy places the organism in Eukaryota, Fungi, Basidiomycota, Agaricomycetes, Polyporales, Fomitopsidaceae. The record is from the annotation of a RefSeq genome assembly.
GGGCAUUUGGCACAGUGGUAGCGCGCACGCUUCGCAUUGAUUUGAAACCAAUUCCUGCCUGCGUGAGGUCCAGGGUUCAAUCCCCUGAAUGUCCA